GUGGGGAAUAUUGGGCAAUGGGGGAAACCCUGACCCAGCAACGCCGCGUGAAGGAAGAAGGUUUUCGGAUCGUAAACUUCUAUCCUUGGUGAAGAUAAUGACGGUAGCCAAGAAGGAAGCCCCGGCUAACUACGUGCCAGCAGCCGCGGUAAUACGUAGGGGGCAAGCGUUGUCCGGAAUGCUUGGGCGUAAAGGGCGCGUAGGCGGCCUGGUAAGUCUGGAGUGAAAGUCCUGCUUUUAAGGUGGGAAUUGCUUUGGAUACUGUCGGGCUUGAGUGCAGGAGAGGUAAGCGGAAUUCCCGGUGUAGCGGUGAAAUGCGUAGAGAUCGGGAGGAACACCAGUGGCGAAGGCGGCUUACUGGACUGUAACUGACGCUGAGGCGCGAAAGUGUGGGGAGCAAACAGGAUUAGAAACCCUGGUAGUCC
Molecule: ribosomal RNA, 425 nt
Filed under: uncultured bacterium
Lineage: Bacteria
Description: partial 16S ribosomal RNA
Rfam family: Bacterial small subunit ribosomal RNA
Source: RNAcentral